Pieris napi is the source of this 1656-nucleotide RNA transcript. It is a transcript of the gene named cecropin-like, with no coding region annotated. The record is from RefSeq and is a predicted model, not a curated record. Lineage: Eukaryota; Metazoa; Arthropoda; Insecta; Lepidoptera; Pieridae. The transcript has 2 exons.
UAUACAUAUUAUAUUACACGUAAAGGUACUGUUGCAUUAUAACAAAAGGUAUAACGUGUUUCCUAAAUUGAAUAACUAAAUAAUUGUGACGAUUAUAUAUCUAUAAACAUCGAUAAAAAAUAUGCUGAAUUUAUAAGCGAAUAACUUUAACACAAUGACACUUUUUUUCUCUAUUGACCAGUGCUCUCUAUAGACAUUAGAAGCAUGUCCUACCACAAUAACGGUGGCACUUUGAUGUUUUUUCCCAUCCAAUAUCCAAUACUUCACUCUCCCUCCAAUACCCUCCUUUUUCCUGUAAUGAGAAAAUCAAACUUUCUUUCAAACUAAAGAUCUAGGUUUGACUCUCGACGAAACAAUAAAAUUAUAUUUUUGCUCAUAUAAAAAACAAAGAGAAAAUUAGCAGUAGAUUUCUAUUAAGUAAAGAUUUAUUUUUUAAUAAAAUCAAUACGUUAUCGUUGUGAUAUUAAUGGCGUGAUUUGAGUCAUAAACGUAUCGUAGUAGUAAAAACUAUCACUGUGUUGCGCCGUGCAUGAUAUUAAUUCCCUCUGUACUAGUAAGUACCUAGAUUACUGAAGUCAUGGGCUGUUUUCAUAAGAAAUUUUUUAAUUGUUUUCUCAAAAAAGUGAAAUUAACACAAUUCUGGAUGAAUGCCCUAGCUAUAAUUUUUGUUAAACGUCAUUUCAUGUUGUCUAAAAAUUCGUAUUACAUAUAAUUCAAAGGGAAUCGGGAGAUCCCUGACGACCCCCGUUAUCACGAACAAAUAAGUAAGUUCAUACAAAAUAAUGUAACGCUAUUAUAGACUUUAUCCCAUUACAAUAAAGAUGACACUCACUCAGCAGUUAGCUCUUGGACGCAGAUGUAAUGUUGCCGUCAUAAUACACAUGAAUACUACUAAAAUGUUAAGCGUUAUCUAUUGAGAGCUUUAUUUCAAUAGCAAUAACGUUCAGUUUAUAUUUAUUUUUGUUUAUAACUGGUUUGGUACGUUUGUCGUUAACAUACAAUAUAAACUAGACGCAAUGCAAGAAUCUUCACAAUACAAAAAGCAGCACGGUUCAUAACUUGUUAGUGACAAAGGAGGAAAGAAAAAUCAAAAAUGAAUUUCGGAAAACUGUUCUUCUUCGUCUUCGCCUGUGUCUUGGCUUUGAGCUCGGUGUCGGCGGCGCCAAAAUGGAAGAUUUUCAAGAAAAUUGAACACUUCGGUCAAAACAUUCGUGAUGGUCUCAUCAAGGCUGGCCCUGCAGUACAAGUCGUGGGUGAAGCUGCAACCAUCUACAAAGGAAAAUAGAGAAACCAGAAGAAUGAUGACAUGCCAUGCCAAAAAUAUGGAGUUAUUUACAAUACGAAUGCAAGAACAUAAAGUGAAGUUAUCGAUCCUCAAUGCCUCGUUCUUAUUUUAGGAACAUAUGCUUUCAUAACAAAACCAAAUUUCUCAUUUACAAGUUUGUUUCGUAUCAGCGGAUUACUCUGUAACCCAUACAAUUUAUUUGUUAGGAAUAGAAUACAAUGUAGUUAAACGUGGUACCGGCGGUGGCUGGUGGAACAGAACAGAUUCUAUUGUACAUAUAUGCUUCUCUGUACUUACUACCCCACAUACUCAAAAUAAUUUAUUUGUAAUGUAAGAUAAUAGUAUUAUUUAUAAAUAAACAUUAAUAGUUA